RNAcentral lists this ribosomal RNA (398 nucleotides) under uncultured bacterium. RNAcentral describes it as "partial 16S ribosomal RNA". It matches the Rfam family "Bacterial small subunit ribosomal RNA", at positions 360 to 775 of the family's 1533-position model. The record is from RNAcentral.
AAUAUUGGACAAUGGGCGCAAGCCUGAUCCAGCCAUGCCGCGUGAGUGAUGAAGGCCNNNGGGUUNUCAAGCUCUUUUGUCCGNGACNAUAAUGACGGUACCGGAAGAAUAAGCCCCGGCUAACUUCGUGCCAGCAGCCGCGGUAAUACGAAGGGGGCUAGCGUUGCUCGGAAUCACUGGGCGUAAAGGGCGCGUAGGCGGCUUUUUAAGUCGGGGGUGAAAGCCUGUGGCUCAACCACAGAAUUGCCUUCGAUACUGGAAAGCUUGAGACCGGAAGAGGACAGCGGAACUGCGAGUGUAGAGGUGAAAUUCGUAGAUAUUCGCAAGAACACCAGUGGCGAAGGCGGCUGUCAGGUCCGGUUCUGACGCUGAGGCGCGAAAGCGUGGGGAGCAAACAG